GACGAACGCUGGCGGCGUGCCUAAUACAUGCAAGUAGAACGCUGAAGGAAAGAGCUUGCUCUUUCCGGAUGAGUUGCGAACGGGUGAGUAACGCGUAGGUAACCUGCCUGGUAGCGGGGGAUAACUAUUGGAAACGAUAGCUAAUACCGCAUAAAAUUGAUUAUUGCAUGAUAGUCAAUUAAAAGGUGCAACUGCACCACUACCAGAUGGACCUGCGUUGUAUUAGCUAGUUGGUGGGGUAACGGCUCACCAAGGCGACGAUACAUAGCCGACCUGAGAGGGUGAUCGGCCACACUGGGACUGAGACACGGCCCAGACUCCUACGGGAGGCAGCAGUAGGGAAUCUUCGGCAAUGGACGAAAGUCUGACCGAGCAACGCCGCGUGAGUGAAGAAGGUUUUCGGAUCGUAAAGCUCUGUUGUAAGAG
RNAcentral lists this ribosomal RNA (426 nucleotides) under Streptococcus sp. oral taxon 058. RNAcentral describes it as "bacterial SSU rRNA". It matches the Rfam family "Bacterial small subunit ribosomal RNA", at positions 28 to 444 of the family's 1533-position model. Lineage: Bacteria; Bacillati; Bacillota; Bacilli; Lactobacillales; Streptococcaceae. The record is from RNAcentral.